Molecule: ribosomal RNA, 496 nt
Filed under: uncultured bacterium
Lineage: Bacteria
Description: partial 16S ribosomal RNA
Rfam family: Bacterial small subunit ribosomal RNA
Source: RNAcentral
GAUGAACGCUGGCGGCGUGCCUAAUACAUGCAAGUCGAGCGAACAGACGAGGAGCUUGCUCCUCUGACGUUAGCGGCGGACGGGUGAGUAACACGUGGAUAACCUACCUAUAAGACUGGGAUAACUUCGGGAAACCGGAGCUAAUACCGGAUAAUAUAUUGAACCGCAUGGUUCAAUAGUGAAAGACGGUUUUGCUGUCACUUAUAGAUGGAUCCGCGCCGCAUUAGCUAGUUGGUAAGGUAACGGCUUACCAAGGCAACGAUGCGUAGCCGACCUGAGAGGGGGAUCGGCCACACGGGAACUGAGACACGGCCCAGACCCCUACGGGAGGCAGCAGUAGGAAUCUUCCGCAAUGGGCGAAAGCCUGACGGAGCAACGCCGCGUGAGUGAUGAAGGUCUUCGGAUCGUAAAACUCUGUUAUUAGGGAAGAACAAAUGUGUAAGUAACUAUGCACGUCUUGACGGUACCUAAUCAGAAAGCCACGGCUAACUACGUG